Molecule: ribosomal RNA, 254 nt
Filed under: Anophryoides haemophila
Lineage: Eukaryota; Ciliophora; Oligohymenophorea; Philasterida; Glauconematidae
Description: partial Bacterial small subunit ribosomal RNA
Rfam family: Bacterial small subunit ribosomal RNA
Source: RNAcentral
CGGGUGAGUAAUACGUGAGUGACCUACCUUUGACUCUGGGAUAAGCCUGGGAAACUGGGUCUAAUACCGGAUAGGAACUGCCUUUAGUGUGGUGGUUGGAAAGUUUUUUCGGUGCAAGAUGAGCUCGCGGCCUAUCAGCUUGUUGGUGGGGUAAUGGCCUACCAAGGCGUCGACGGGUAGCCGGCCUGAGAGGGUGUACGGCCACAUUGGGACUGAGAUACGGCCCAGACUCCUACGGGAGGCAGCAGUGGGGA